This 564-nucleotide long non-coding RNA is filed under the name Elaeis guineensis (African oil palm). RNAcentral describes it as "long non-coding RNA (EGUI_LNC020593)". The record is from RNAcentral. Lineage: Eukaryota; Viridiplantae; Streptophyta; Magnoliopsida; Arecales; Arecaceae.
AAGUCUUGGAUGAAUCUUAUCGUUGACACCCCAAUGAGUUUCUCCUCAAAGUCUGCCAAGGCCUUAUACUUCACGAUGUAGCUGAGCUUGACCUCGACGAAGGCCUCCAAUAUGGAUACAGACUGUCCUACCUUCAUUGCAAGUGGGGAAUGUUCGUCCCAGAACCAGUCGGACCUUUCAAAGCCUUGAGAGGAGGUGGAACUUAGCCAGACAUGGAAGACUCCGACUGAGCGCUCUUCAUCUUUUUGGACGAGGGGUCGUCACACAAGGAAGCCAUUUUCUUUUUUACUGAUUGCUUCAUGGCCCAUUGUGAUGGCUCCAUGGCAAUGAGGCAACAAGAGGAAGAAUAUUCCUUAACAGAUACAGAGAUAUUCUACAAGGCAAGUGACCUAUUUAUAGGUCUUGGAUGAUCCACAUUCGGUCGUUAGGCAAUUGGAUCAUGCCACUUGGCCAACUCUGAAGUGGCUGGUAAUGCUGCCCUUUAUUGCAUUCUUAUCCACUCUAAGUUCUAAGGAAUAAUUCACAAAGGUUACUUUGAAACUUACCGCGAUGCACCACAUGGCA